Molecule: long non-coding RNA, 743 nt
Filed under: Equus caballus (horse)
Lineage: Eukaryota; Metazoa; Chordata; Mammalia; Perissodactyla; Equidae
Description: lncRNA (ENSECAG00000048556.1)
Source: RNAcentral
GAAAGAAAGGCCGGCUCUGGGUGGCUGCCUGAGCUUCCUACUGGAUGCGGCUGUGAUCACAACAAAAUGGUAUGACCCCUGGCCUCUCUGAAUCCACGUCCUAACAGACGGUGCUGUGUCAGGAUCCAGCUACGCUCGCUGAGCAGGACGGGUCCCAUCCUGCGUCUAACGAGGAAGGGUCGACUUGUGCAGCCUCCAACACAGUGCCGCUUGUCUUCAAAGCCCGCCGUGGAACGCAAGGAAAAAGCUGAUCCUGGAACUGCCCUCUGUGAGAAAGAAGGAAGCUCCUGUGUGGGUAUGGAGGGGUGAGGAGCAGUGGAGACGGAGGGAGAGAAAAGAAAAAACACAAAGGAAUAUAGGCCGGAGAAGAUGGUGAGAGAAUGACAGCGACACAGUGAGACAGAAAGAGAGAACAAGCAAAGCACGGCGUCUAAAAAAUCCCCCAAAACCCCGACAAGUUGCUAACGUUUGUAAAUUUUGAGCGAUGGGCAGAAGGGGGUUUGUUACAUUAUUCGCUGUAUUUUUCUGUAUUUUUCUAAUUCACGUUUUCAAAAAAGGAACUGGGGGAAAAUGUCACCCAAAUGAAUAUUUUUAGUUCAAAAAUUUUGUGAACUUAGUUGUCAUCAUUCUAGGCAGCAACCACCCGGGAGAUUCGGUUUUCGGUGAUUCCAAAUUACCUUGAGGCACCUCAAGCUUCAGAAGAGGAAAAGGCAGGCAGGAGAGCGAGGAAGCUUGGGGGGGGG